This 441-nucleotide ribosomal RNA is filed under the name uncultured bacterium. RNAcentral describes it as "partial 16S ribosomal RNA". It matches the Rfam family "Bacterial small subunit ribosomal RNA", at positions 338 to 795 of the family's 1533-position model. The record is from RNAcentral.
CCUACGGGUGGCUGCAGUGGGGGAUAUUGCACAAUGGGGGAAACCCUGAUGCAGCGACGCCGCGUGUGGGAAGACGGUCCUCUGGAUUGUAAACCACUGUCCCCAGGGACUAAGAUGACGGUACCUUGGCAGGAAGCUCCUGCUAACUACGUGCCAGCAGCCGCGGUAAUACGGAGGAUUCGAGCGUUAUCCGGAUUUAUUGGGGUUAAGGGGUGCGUAGGCUGUCGGAUAAGUUAGAGGUCAAAUGUCGGGGCUUAACCCCGUGCCUGCCUCUGAAACUGUUCGACUAGAGAGCGGAUGCAGCAGGCGGAAUGAGUAGUGUAGCGGUGAAAUGCUUAGAUAUUACUCAGAACACCGAUUGCGCAGGCAGCUUGCUAAUCCGCAUCUGACGCUGAUGCACGAAAGCGUGGGUAGCGAACAGGAUUAGAUACCCUUGUAGUC